RNAcentral lists this ribosomal RNA (222 nucleotides) under uncultured Glomeromycotina. Its description in RNAcentral is "partial 18S ribosomal RNA". The stretch from base 47 to 222 matches the Rfam family "Eukaryotic small subunit ribosomal RNA", at positions 693 to 870 of the family's 1831-position model. Lineage: Eukaryota; Fungi; Glomeromycota. The record is from RNAcentral.
GGAUCAAUAUGUUGGUCGUGCCAUUGGUACGUACUGGCAUUAUUGACUCUUACCUUCUGAAGAACCUUGAUGUCAUUAAUUUGGUGUCUUGGGGAAUCAGGACUGUUACUUUGAAAAAAUUAGAGUGUUUAAAGCAGGCUCGCGCUUGAAUACAUUAGCAUGGAAUAAUGAAAUAGGAUGUUUGAUUCUAUUUUGUUGGUUUCUAGGAUCGACGUAAUGAUU